GUUAAGAUGGCAGAGCACGGCUAUUGCGAAAGGUCUAAGCCCUUUUUACAGAGGUUCAAGUCCUCUUCUUAACA
Molecule: transfer RNA, 74 nt
Filed under: Stethojulis strigiventer (three-ribbon wrasse)
Lineage: Eukaryota; Metazoa; Chordata; Actinopteri; Labriformes; Labridae
Description: tRNA-Leu
Rfam family: tRNA
About the family: Transfer RNA (tRNA) molecules are approximately 80 nucleotides in length. Their secondary structure includes four short double-helical elements and three loops (D, anti-codon, and T loops). Further hydrogen bonds mediate the characteristic L-shaped molecular structure. tRNAs have two regions of fundamental functional importance: the anti-codon, which is responsible for specific mRNA codon recognition, and the 3' end, to which the tRNAs corresponding amino acid is attached (by aminoacyl-tRNA synthetases). tRNAs cope with the degeneracy of the genetic code in two manners: having more than one tRNA (with a specific anti-codon) for a particular amino acid; and 'wobble' base-pairing, i.e. permitting non-standard base-pairing at the 3rd anti-codon position.
Source: RNAcentral